This 404-nucleotide ribosomal RNA is filed under the name Fusobacteriota bacterium. RNAcentral describes it as "Fusobacteria bacterium partial 16S ribosomal RNA". It matches the Rfam family "Bacterial small subunit ribosomal RNA", at positions 355 to 776 of the family's 1533-position model. The record is from RNAcentral. Lineage: Bacteria; Fusobacteriati; Fusobacteriota.
UGGGGAAUAUUGCACAAUGGAGGGAACUCUGAUGCAGCGACGCCGCGUGAGUGAUGAAGGAAUUCGUUUCGUAAAACUCUGUUCUAUGGGAAGAAAAGGACUGUACCAUAGGAGAAAGCUCCGGCUAAAUACGUGCCAGCAGCCGCGGUAAUACGUAUGGAGCGAGCGUUGUCCGGAAUUAUUGGGCGUAAAGGGUGCGCAGGCGGCUUUACAAGUUGGAUGUGAAAUAUUGUGGCUCAACCACAAACGUGCAUCCAAAACUGCAAAGCUUGAGUUAAGGAGAGGUAAGUGGAAUUCCUGGUGUAGCGGUGGAAUGCGUAGAUAUCAGGAGGAAUACCGGUGGCGAAGGCGACUUACUGGACUUAAACUGACGCUCAGGCACGAAAGCGUGGGGAGCAAACAGU